CUAGCAUAUCAAUAAGCGGAGGAAAAGAAACUAACAAGGAUUCCCCUAGUAACUGCGAGUGAAGCGGGAAAAGCUCAAAUUUAAAAUCUGGCAGUCUUUGGCUGUCCGAGUUGUAAUCUGGAGAAGUGUUUUCCGCGCUGGACCGUGUACAAGUCUCUUGGAAUAGAGCGUCAUAGAGGGUGAGAAUCCCGUCUUUGACACGGACUACCAGUGCUUUGUGAUGCGCUUUCAAAGAGUCGAGUUGUUUGGGAAUGCAGCUCAAAAUGGGUGGUAAAUUCCAUCUAAAGCUAAAUAUUGGCGAGAGACCGAUAGCGAACAAGUACCGUGAGGGAAAGAUGAAAAGCACUUUGGAAAGAGAGUUAAACAGUACGUGAAAUUGCUGAAAGGGAAACGCUUGAAGUCAGUCGCGUUGUUCAGAACUCAGCCUGGCUUUGGCUUGGUGCAUUUUCUGAAUAACGGGCCAGCAUCAAUUUUGACUGUUGGAUAAAGGCCAGGGAAAUGUGGCUCCCUUGGGAGUGUUAUAGUCCUUGGUUGCAUACAAUGGUUGGGAUUGAGGAACUCAGCAUGCCUUUAUGGGUCGGGGUUCGCCCACGUUCAUGCUUAGGAUGCUGGCGUAAUGGCUUUAAACGACCCGUCUUGAAACACGGACCAAGGAGUCUAACAUGCCUGCGAGUGUUUGGGUGGGAAAACCCGAGCGCGCAAUGAAAGUGAAAGUUGGGAUCUCUGUCGUGGAGAGCACCAAUGCCCGGACCAGACCUUCUGUGACGGCUCCGCGGUAGAGCAUGUAUGUUGGGACCCGAAAGAUGGUGAACUAUGCCUGAAUAGGGUGAAGCCAGAGGAAACUCUGGUGGAGGCUCGUAGCGAUUCUGACGUGCAAAUCGAUCGUCAAAUUUGGGGUAUAGGGGCGAAAGACUAAUCGAACAUCUAGUAGCUGGUCCUGCGGCUU
This 946-nucleotide ribosomal RNA is filed under the name Rigidoporus sp. RNAcentral describes it as "partial large subunit ribosomal RNA". It matches the Rfam family "Eukaryotic large subunit ribosomal RNA", at positions 34 to 969 of the family's 3401-position model. Lineage: Eukaryota; Fungi; Basidiomycota; Agaricomycetes; Polyporales; Meripilaceae. The record is from RNAcentral.